This 603-nucleotide unclassified non-coding RNA is filed under the name Talaromyces rugulosus. RNAcentral's name for it is "sequence contains 18S rRNA gene, ITS1, 5.8S rRNA gene, ITS2, 28S rRNA gene". The stretch from base 224 to 377 matches the Rfam family "5.8S ribosomal RNA". The record is from RNAcentral. Lineage: Eukaryota; Fungi; Ascomycota; Eurotiomycetes; Eurotiales; Trichocomaceae.
GUAACAAGGUUUCCGUAGGUGAACCUGCGGAAGGAUCAUUACCGAGUGCGGGUUCCAACGAGCCCAACCUCCCACCCGUGUUUACCAUGACCGCGUUGCCUCGGCGGGCCCACUGGGGCCUGGCCCCGGUCGCCGGGGGGCUUCUGCCCCCGGGUCCGCGCCCGCCGAAGCGCCCUGGAACCCUGUCUGAAUAGUGAGUCUGAGUCUAUGAUUAAAUCAUUAAAACUUUCAACAACGGAUCUCUUGGUUCCGGCAUCGAUGAAGAACGCAGCGAAAUGCGAUAAGUAAUGUGAAUUGCAGAAUUCCGUGAAUCAUCGAAUCUUUGAACGCACAUUGCGCCCCCUGGCAUUCCGGGGGGCAUGCCUGUCCGAGCGUCAUUUCUGCCCUCCAGCCCGGCUGGGUGUUGGGUGUUGUCCCCCCGGGGACACGCCCCAAAGGCAGUGGCGGCGCCGCGUCGGGUCCUCGAGCGUAUGGGGCUUUGUCACCCGCUCGGGACGGACUCGUCGGCGCUGGUCUUCCUCCAGGCGACCCUUCGGGGCCCGUCUACCUUCGGUUGACCUCGGAUCAGGUAGGGUUACCCGCUGAACUUAAGCAUAUCAAUAA